CACACGCCAAUCUGACAUGUCCGCACCACCGCUCGCAGGCCCUGGGCGACCAAGCCGGAUCAAGCCGUCCUCUACCUCCGUGCGUAGAUCUGGGUGAGCCUCCGCACCGCAGUGCACAAGAAAGGUCCAGGAAUAGCCGGACCUAGCCGGUCUGCACUGACGCGCGCAGGACAUGGGCGGGAUCCAAGCCAAACUGCGCUGCCCGCACCGCCGCGCGCAAGAACAACAGAGUUCGUGUUGGAACUAGUCCAUGGGAGCAUCAUAAAGCACCACCCAAACUGAUUGGUGUCGCCGCUCGAGGGAGCCGAACG
This 311-nucleotide long non-coding RNA is filed under the name Hordeum vulgare. Its description in RNAcentral is "long non-coding RNA (HVUL_LNC006239)". Lineage: Eukaryota; Viridiplantae; Streptophyta; Magnoliopsida; Poales; Poaceae. The record is from RNAcentral.